CUUUGAUUUCCUUUUUCUUCCUUUCCCAUUUUUCAUUCACAAAACUACAAAAACAAUGGUAGUUCCGGUGAUUUCAUUGUGGAACAUGACUUGGGACUCGUGAUCUUGCUACGAAAAUUGGAUUCCGGCGAGGAGGUGUAUGGAGUUAAAUCAGCUAUGGAGUUGAUGUUGUUUUUCAUCCUCACAAUCUCUACGACUAUGGAGUUAAAUUAGCUAUGGAUUGUCCUAGAAUGUCCAUGUUUCUUGCUUGGAGGAAUCCGGUUCAGAGGAUGAGACAUCAGUGAGGGUUAAGCGUUUGGAGGACAUGUGUGGGAGAAGUAGACUUGUGUUCUUUAGAGGGGUUGCUACUGUUGUUACUAAGUUGUUCAAUAUUGUGGAACUCGAUGUUGCAGUGUUUGGAAAGAAGGAUUAUCAGCAAUGGCUAGAUUAUCAGGCGGAUGGUAGGAAAUUUGGCUCUUCUAGUUGAAGAUUGGACAACUAGUGGAAAGCAAGUAUCAAACAACGCUUGAUGCCUUAUUAAAAGCAAAAGAUAUGGACACACAUGGUGUAAUUAGCUUUAGGGUAGGCAUUAUAGAAAUUGGAGUUACUGUUUUGUAUUUCUUUGAACUUAUGCCGAACCAUUUAAUUGUAUUCUUGAAGUUGAUCAUUUGUGAUAUAGAGGAUGUAAUUGAAAAGAAUUUUGUUCUUUCAUUAUCUUUAAUGUAUUAUUCCAACCCUUA
Molecule: long non-coding RNA, 719 nt
Organism: Cucumis sativus (cucumber)
Lineage: Eukaryota; Viridiplantae; Streptophyta; Magnoliopsida; Cucurbitales; Cucurbitaceae
Exons: 2
Source: RefSeq, a predicted model, not a curated record